Scatophagus argus is the source of this 415-nucleotide long non-coding RNA. RefSeq lists it as uncharacterized. The transcript is spliced from 3 exons. The record is from RefSeq and is a predicted model, not a curated record. Lineage: Eukaryota; Metazoa; Chordata; Actinopteri; Scatophagidae.
ACCAGGACACUGGCUGCAUGACCAGCAGCAUAAUUUAUGUUAUCCGCCUCAUUGUUUACUCACUCAAUCACUUAAUAUAUAAUUUACCUGAUUUGCCUGACUGUCAAAUUGUUGUUUUGCACUCUAUACCACAUUCAGUGUUUAGCCUCUUUUGGCUCAUAAUUUUUGUUUUAUCACAAAUGUACUGUUUGUUUCAGUCUCAGUGACCUCACCAAUCUUGCUUUCAGCAUCAGAGACCUGAAGACAUCAGUGAAUGAAGCUUUAAGAAAGACACAGAUCUCGGAAUAACCUCCAUCAAGCAAACUGAAUCUGUUUAUUUUAAACUCAAAGACCUCUGAUCCCUCGGGAGUCCUCUGUCAGGACUUCUGUGCCAGGAGCGUGCUCAGUUUGAUCUUCCCAUCCAUGGAGGCGGUCA